Molecule: ribosomal RNA, 497 nt
Filed under: uncultured bacterium
Lineage: Bacteria
Description: partial 16S ribosomal RNA
Rfam family: Bacterial small subunit ribosomal RNA
Source: RNAcentral
GAUGAACGCUGGCGGCGUGCCUAAUACAUGCAAGUCGAGCGAACGGACGAGAAGCUUGCUUCUCUGAUGUUAGCGGCGGACGGGUGAGUAACACGUGGAUAACCUACCUAUAAGACUGGGAUAACUUCGGGAAACCGGAGCUAAUACCGGAUAAUAUUUUGAACCGCAUGGUUCAAAAGUGAAAGACGGUCUUGCUGUCACUUAUAGAUGGAUCCGCGCUGCAUUAGCUAGUUGGUAAGGUAACGGCUUACCAAGGCAACGAUGCAUAGCCGACCUGAGAGGGGGAUCGGCCACACUGGAACUGAGACACGGUCCAGACGCCUACGGGAGGCAGCAGUAGGGAAUCUUACGCAAUGGGCGAAAGCCUGACGGAGCAACGCCGCAUGAGUGAUGAAGGUCUUCGGAGCGUAAAACUCUGUUAUUAGGGAAGAACAUAUGUGUAAGUAACUGUGCACAUCUUGACGGUACCUAAUCAGAAAGCCACGGCUAACUACGUG